AGCGAACGCUGGCGGCAGGCCUAACACAUGCAAGUCGAACGAACUCUUCGGAGUUAGUGGCGGACGGGUGAGUAACACGUGGGAACGUGCCUUUUGGUUCGGAAUAACUCAGGGAAACUUGUGCUAAUACCGAAUGUGCCCUUCGGGGGAAAGAUUUAUCGCCAUUAGAGCGGCCCGCGUCUGAUUAGCUAGUUGGUGAGGUAACGGCUCACCAAGGCGACGAUCAGUAGCUGGUCUGAGAGGAUGACCAGCCACACUGGGACUGAGACACGGCCCAGACUCCUACGGGAGGCAGCAGUGGGGAAUCUCGCGCAAUGGGCGAAAGCCUGACGCAGCCAUGCCGCGUGAAUGAUGAAGGUCUUAGGAUUGUAAAAUUCUUUCACCGGGGACGAUAAUGACGGUACCCGGAGAAGAAGCCCCGGCUAACUUCGUG
Molecule: ribosomal RNA, 433 nt
Filed under: uncultured bacterium
Lineage: Bacteria
Description: partial 16S ribosomal RNA
Rfam family: Bacterial small subunit ribosomal RNA
Source: RNAcentral